RNAcentral lists this ribosomal RNA (255 nucleotides) under Enterococcus faecium. RNAcentral describes it as "partial 16S ribosomal RNA". It matches the Rfam family "Bacterial small subunit ribosomal RNA", at positions 1119 to 1375 of the family's 1533-position model. RNAcentral also lists the same sequence under 1 other name. Lineage: Bacteria; Bacillati; Bacillota; Bacilli; Lactobacillales; Enterococcaceae. The record is from RNAcentral.
CAUCAUUCAGUUGGGCACUCUAGCAAGACUGCCGGUGACAAACCGGAGGAAGGUGGGGAUGACGUCAAAUCAUCAUGCCCCUUAUGACCUGGGCUACACACGUGCUACAAUGGGAAGUACAACGAGUUGCGAAGUCGCGAGGCUAAGCUAAUCUCUUAAAGCUUCUCUCAGUUCGGAUUGCAGGCUGCAACUCGCCUGCAUGAAGCCGGAAUCGCUAGUAAUCGCGGAUCAGCACGCCGCGGUGAAUACGUUCCC